CCUACGGGAGGCUGCAGUGGGGAAUAUUGGACAAUGGGGGGAACCCUGAUCCAGCCAUGCCGCGUGUGUGAAGAAGGCCCUCGGGUUGUAAAGCACUUUCAGUGAGGAAGAACGCCUGGUGGUUAAUACCCAUCAGGAAAGACAUCACUCACAGAAGAAGCACCGGCUAACUCCGUGCCAGCAGCCGCGGUAAUACGGAGGGUGCGAGCGUUAAUCGGAAUUACUGGGCGUAAAGCGCGCGUAGGUGGCUUGAUAAGCCGGUUGUGAAAGCCCCGGGCUCAACCUGGGAACGGCAUCCGGAACUGUCAAGCUAGAGUGCAGGAGAGGAAGGUAGAAUUCCCGGUGUAGCGGUGAAAUGCAUAGAGAUCGGGAGGAAUACCAGUGGCGAAGGCGGCCUUCUGGACUGACACUGACACUGAGGUGCGAAAGCGUGGGUAGCAAACAGGAUUAGAUACCCUAGUAGUC
Molecule: ribosomal RNA, 465 nt
Filed under: Vreelandella stevensii
Lineage: Bacteria; Pseudomonadati; Pseudomonadota; Gammaproteobacteria; Oceanospirillales; Halomonadaceae
Description: partial 16S ribosomal RNA
Rfam family: Bacterial small subunit ribosomal RNA
Source: RNAcentral